UUGCGGUUAAAAAGCUCGUAGUUGGAUCUCGGCGGGCAGGGGGUGGUUCGCUCUUCAGCGCUACUGCCCCGCUUUGCCCGUGUGAUUGGCGGAGGUUUCGGGGUGCUCUUCGUUGAGUGACUCGGAGCGCCGUCAGGUUUACUUUGAAAAAAUUAGAGUGCUCAAAGCAGGCUUUUCACGCUUGAAUAUUCGUGCAUGGAAUAAUGGAAUAGGAACUCGUUUCUAUUUUGUUGGUUUUCGGAAAUCGAGUUAAUGAUUAACAGGGACAAUUGGGGGCAUUAGUAUUCAGACGACAGAGGUGAAAUUCUUGGACCGUCUGAAGACUGACUACUGCGAAAGCAUUUGCCAAGAGUGUUUUCAUUAAUCAAGAACGAAAGUUAGAGGUUCGAAGGCGAUCAGAUACCGCCCUAGUUCUAACCAUAAAACGAUGCCAGCUAAGCGGUCUGCCUGCGUUUUUUACUGUAAACUGGGCAGGAAGCUUUCCCGGGAAAC
RNAcentral lists this ribosomal RNA (492 nucleotides) under uncultured eukaryote. Its description in RNAcentral is "bacterial SSU rRNA". It matches the Rfam family "Eukaryotic small subunit ribosomal RNA", at positions 613 to 1098 of the family's 1831-position model. The record is from RNAcentral.